AGUUAAUGGACGAUCCUUCUUCUCUUUCCCCAUUCAACUCAUUACAGUCAAGGAUAUCAGGAGGAAUCUGGAACUUGUGUUAACCUAAAAUCUGCUGGGAAACAUCGUUAUCUAAAGCCCUUGAACCACUCAUCCUGCUACAGUUCUCUGUGCACGACUGGAAGCUCCGUGUGGGAGGAGAACAGGUACCGACUCUGUGGCAUUGCACUCUGCCGAGUGCUUACACCGUGCCGCGCACCUCAAGCGCUCAGUGAAUACAACGGAUUGAUCGAGGAGCUUACAGUCGAGUGGAAAGGACUCUUUCUUCAAGAGAAGGUCAUGGCGGAUCACGGGACGCUAACGCCAGUCAUCAUUACGAUGACGGUAUUUAAGUGCUUACUUGAACGCCACGUCGUCGAAAGAAAAAAACGCCAAGCUCUGUUCACCCAGUAAGCGCUCAGAACGACUCCGCUGGGGACCCGGAUCCCGAAGGAAUCGAGAAGUCCAUCGGAGUUGUCCUCCCAACAGCUCUUCUAGCAGUCUCAGCUGCAAAACGAUGCCAGGGUGUGUGAGCCCUGCACCGCUCUCCGGACUCAGUCCUUCCUUACAAGCUGCAAGAAGGCCCCGCGCCCCGCUGCCCUGUCGCGUUGUUAGCUGCGGGCCGAGACACCGAAAAUCCCCCCCGGAAAGCCGAACCCGUUGCUUUCCCCGUCUUACCGUACCGAGAGAACUCAUUAGCAGAGAAGAAAGGUGUGUCCCGUUCCGUGCCCGCAGAGCGUCCCGGAGGCCGGGGUCGAUCCUUCCGAUGUGACAGUGACGUCGGUAUUUGUUAAGCGCCGCCGACUGCGUGCCGAGCGCCGUUCCGAGCGCGGCGGUAGA
Ornithorhynchus anatinus (platypus) is the source of this 858-nucleotide long non-coding RNA. RefSeq lists it as uncharacterized. NCBI's taxonomy places the organism in Eukaryota, Metazoa, Chordata, Mammalia, Monotremata, Ornithorhynchidae. The record is from RefSeq and is a predicted model, not a curated record. The transcript has 3 exons.